UUAUCCAGCAAUGGAUGACUGAGUGGCGAACGGGUGAGUAACACGUGGGUGACCUACCUUCGAGUGGGGGAUAACGUCCCGAAAGGGACGCUAAUACCGCAUAACAUCCUGCCUUUGAACAGGCGGUGAUCAAAGCCGGGGACCGUAAGGCCCGGCGCUUGAUGAGGGGCUCGCGUCUGAUUAGCUAGUUGGUGAGGUAACGGCCCACCAAGGCGACGAUCAGUAUCCGGCCUGAGAGGGCGGACGGACACACUGGGACUGAGACACGGCCCAGACUCCUACGGGAGGCAGCAGUGGGGAAUUGUUCACAAUGGGCGCAAGCCUGAUGACGCAACGCCGCGUGGAGGAUGAAGGUCUUCGGAUUGUAAACUCCUGUUGCCCGGGACGAAAAGCUUCGACCUAACACGUCGAGGUCUGACGGUACCGGGUGAGGAAGCCCCGGCUAACUCUGUGCCAGCAGCCGCGGUAAUACAGAGGGGGCAAGCGUUGUUCGGAAUUACUGGGCGUAAAGGGCGCGUAGGCGGCCUUCUAAGUCGAACGUGAAAUCCCUGGGCUCAACCCAGGAACUGCGUCCGAUACUGGAAGGCUUGAAUCCGGGAGAGGGAUGCGGAAUUCCAGGUGUAGCGGUGAAAUGCGUAGAUAUCUGGAGGAACACCGGUGGCGAAGGCGGCAUCCUGGACCGGUAUUGACGCUAAGGCGCGAAAGCCAGGGGAGCAAACGGGAUUAGAUACCCCGGUAGUCCUGGCCCUAAACGAUGAAUGCUUGGUGUGGCGGGUAUCGAUCCCUGCCGUGCCGAAGCUAACGCAUUAAGCAUUCCGCCUGGGGAGUACGGUCGCAAGGCUG
RNAcentral lists this ribosomal RNA (843 nucleotides) under uncultured Acidobacteriota bacterium. RNAcentral describes it as "bacterial SSU rRNA". It matches the Rfam family "Bacterial small subunit ribosomal RNA", at positions 72 to 896 of the family's 1533-position model. The record is from RNAcentral. Lineage: Bacteria; Pseudomonadati; Acidobacteriota.